Molecule: ribosomal RNA, 465 nt
Filed under: uncultured bacterium
Lineage: Bacteria
Description: bacterial SSU rRNA
Rfam family: Bacterial small subunit ribosomal RNA
Source: RNAcentral
CCUACGGGAGGCACCAGUAGGGAAUCUUCGGCAAUGGACGAAAGUCUGACCGAGCAACGCCGCGUGAGUGAAGAAGGUUUUCGGAUCGUAAAACUCUAUUGUUAGAGAAGAACAAGUAGGAGAGUAACUGCUCUUACCUUGACGGUAUCUAACCAGAAAGCCACGGCUAACUACGUGCCAGCAGCCGCGGUAAUACGUAGGCGGCAAGCGUUGUCCGGAUUUAUUGGGCGUAAAGCGAGCGCAGGCGGUCUUUUAAGUCUGAUGUGAAAGCCCUCGGCUCAACCGAGGAAGGUCAUUGGAAACUGGGGGACUUGAGUGCAGAAGAGGAGAGUGGAAUUCCAUGUGUAGCGGUGAAAUGCGCAGAUAUAUGGAGGAACACCAGUGGCGGAGGCGACUCUCUGGUCUGUAACUGACGCUGAGGCUCGAAAGCGUGGGGAGCAAACAGGAUUAGAUACCCUUGUAGUC